This 520-nucleotide ribosomal RNA is filed under the name uncultured bacterium. RNAcentral's name for it is "bacterial SSU rRNA". It matches the Rfam family "Bacterial small subunit ribosomal RNA", at positions 777 to 1297 of the family's 1533-position model. The record is from RNAcentral.
AAUAGAUACCCAGGUAGUCCACGCCGUAAACGAUGAGUGCUAAGUGUUAGAGGGUUUCCGCCCUUUAGUGCUGAAGUUAACGCAUUAAGCACUCCGCCUGGGGAGUACGGCCGCAAGGCUGAAACUCAAAGGAAUUGACGGGGGCCCGCACAAGCGGUGGAGCAUGUGGUUUAAUUCGAAGCAACGCGAAGAACCUUACCAGGUCUUGACAUCCUCUGACAACCCUAGAGAUAGGACUUCUCCUUCGGGAGCAGAGUGACAGGUGGUGCAUGGUUGUCGUCAGCUCGUGUCGUGAGAUGUUGGGUUAAGUCCCGCAACGAGCGCAACCCUUGAUCUUAGUUGCCAUCAUUUAGUUGGGCACUCUAAGGUGACUGCCGGUGACAAACCGGAGGAAGGUGGGGAUGACGUCAAAUCAUCAUGCCCCUUAUGACCUGGGCUACACACGUGCUACAAUGGACGGUACAAAGAGCUGCAAGACCGCGAGGUGGAGCUAAUCUCAUAAAACCGUUCUCAGUUCGGA